RNAcentral lists this ribosomal RNA (585 nucleotides) under uncultured bacterium. RNAcentral's name for it is "partial 16S ribosomal RNA". It matches the Rfam family "Bacterial small subunit ribosomal RNA", at positions 355 to 1375 of the family's 1533-position model. The record is from RNAcentral.
UGGGGAAUUUUGGACAAUGGGCGAAAGCCUGAUCCAGCAAUGCCGCGUGAGUGAAGAAGGCCUUCGGGUUGUAAAGCUCUUUUGUCAGGGAAGAAACGGUGAAAGCUAAUAUCUUUUGCUAAUGACGGUACCUGAAGAAUAAGCACCGGCUAACUACGUGCCAGCAGCCGCGGUAAUACGUAGGGUGCAAGCGUUAAUCGGAAUUACUGGGCGUAAAGCGUGCGCAGGCGGUUUUGUAAGUCUGAUGUGAAAUCCCCGGGCUCAACCUGGGAAUUGCAUUGGAGACUGCGAGGCUAGAAUCUGGCAGAGGGGGGUAGAAUUCCACGUGUAGCAGUGAAAUGCGUGAUAUGUGGAGGAACACCGAUGGCGAAGGCAGCCCCCCUGGGUCAAGAUUGACGCUCAUGCACGAAAGCGUGGGGAGCAAACAGGAUUAGAUACCCUGGUAGUCCACGCCCUAAACGAUGUCUACUAGUUGUCGGGUCUUAAUUGACUUGGUAACGCAGCUAACGCGUGAAGUAGACCGCCUGGGGAGUACGGUCGCAAGAUUAAAACUCAAAUGAAUUGACGGGGUCAUAGCUGUUUCCU